AUUGAACGCUGGCGGCAUGCCUAACACAUGCAAGUCGAACGGGGUGUAGCAAUACAUCUAGUGGCGGACGGGUGAGGAAUACAUAGGAAUUUGCCCUUAAGUGGGGGAUAGUCCGGGGAAACUCGGUUUAAUACCGCAUGGUCUCGUGAGAGCAAAGCAGGGGACCGCAAGGCCUUGCGCUUUUGGAGAAGCCUAUGUCGGAUUAGCUAGUUGGUAGGGUAAUGGCCUACCAAGGCGACGAUCCGUAACUGGUCUGAGAGGAUGAUCAGUCACACCGGAACUGAGACACGGUCCGGACUCCUACGGGAGGCAGCAGUGGGGAAUAUUGGACAAUGGGCGCAAGCCUGAUCCAGCAAUGCCGCGUGUGUGAAGAAGGCCU
This 379-nucleotide ribosomal RNA is filed under the name uncultured bacterium. Its description in RNAcentral is "bacterial SSU rRNA". It matches the Rfam family "Bacterial small subunit ribosomal RNA", at positions 30 to 417 of the family's 1533-position model. The record is from RNAcentral.